Molecule: transfer RNA, 84 nt
Filed under: Acinetobacter baumannii
Lineage: Bacteria; Pseudomonadati; Pseudomonadota; Gammaproteobacteria; Moraxellales; Moraxellaceae
Description: tRNA-Leu
Rfam family: tRNA
About the family: Transfer RNA (tRNA) molecules are approximately 80 nucleotides in length. Their secondary structure includes four short double-helical elements and three loops (D, anti-codon, and T loops).
Source: RNAcentral
GGGGGCGUGGCGAAAUUGGUAGACGCACUGGAUUUAGGUUCCAGCGCCGCAAGGUGUAAGAGUUCGAGUCUCUCGCCCCCACCA